UCCCUGGUGGUCCAGUGGUUAGGACUCUGCCCUUUUACUGCUGAGGCCCCUGGUUCAAUCCCUGGUCAGGGAA
Balaenoptera musculus (blue whale) is the source of this 73-nucleotide non-coding RNA. NCBI's taxonomy places the organism in Eukaryota, Metazoa, Chordata, Mammalia, Artiodactyla, Balaenopteridae. The record is from the annotation of a RefSeq genome assembly.